Molecule: ribosomal RNA, 746 nt
Filed under: cyanobacterium enrichment culture clone 5_10_5.2.3_F05-T7
Lineage: Bacteria; Bacillati; Cyanobacteriota
Description: bacterial SSU rRNA
Rfam family: Bacterial small subunit ribosomal RNA
Source: RNAcentral
GAGUUNGAUCCUGGCUCAGGAUGAACGCUGGCGGUCUGCUUAACACAUGCAAGUCGAACGGAAUCUUUCGGGAUUUAGUGGCGGACGGGUGAGUAACGCGUGAGAAUCUGCCUUCAGGUUCGGGACAACAGCUGGAAACGGCUGCUAAUACCGGAUGUGCCGAGAGGUGAAAGCUUUAGUGCCUGGAGAUGAGCUCGCGUCUGAUUAGCUAGUAGGAGUGGUAACGGCACCCCUAGGCGACGAUCAGUAGCUGGUCUGAGAGGAUGAUCAGCCACACUGGGACUGAGACACGGCCCAGACUCCUACGGGAGGCAGCAGUGGGGAAUUUUCCGCAAUGGGCGCAAGCCUGACGGAGCAAGACCGCGUGAGGGAGGAAGGCCUAUUGGUUGUAAACCUCUUUUGAUAGGGAAGAACACAAUGACGGUACCUAUCGAAUCAGCAUCGGCUAACUCCGUGCCAGCAGCCGCGGUAAUACGGAGGAUGCAGGCGUUAUCCGGAUUUAUUGGGCGUAAAGCGUCCGUAGGUGGCAAACCAAGUCAGUUGUUAAAGCGUAGAGCUUAACUCUAUAAGGGCAAUUGAAACUGGUUAGCUAGAGUGCGAUAGGGGCAAGGGGAAUUCCCAGUGUAGCGGUGAAAUGCGUAGAUAUUGGGAAGAACAUCGGUGGCGAAGGCGCCUUGCUGGGUCUGCACUGACACUGAGGGACGAAAGCUAGGGGAGCGAAAGGGAUUAGAUACCCCUGUAGUCCU